GAUUCGUCACACUAUCAUUAACUGAAUCCAUAGGUUAAUGAGGCGAACCGGGGGAACUGAAACAUCUAAGUACCCCGAGGAAAAGAAAUCAACCGAGAUUCCCCCAGUAGCGGCGAGCGAACGGGGAGGAGCCCAGAGCCUGAAUCAGCAUGUGUGUUAGUGGAAGCGUCUGGAAAGGCGCGCGAUACAGGGUGACAGCCCCGUACACAAAAGCGCAUGUGCUGUGAGCUCGAUGAGUAGGGCGGGACACGUGGUAUCCUGUCUGAAUAUGGGGGGACCAUCCUCCAAGGCUAAAUACUCCUGACUGACCGAUAGUGAACCAGUACCGUGAGGGAAAGGCGAAAAGAACCCCGGCGAGGGGAGUGAAAAAGAACCUGAAACCGUGUACGUACAAGCAGUGGGAGCACCCUUCGGGGUGUGACUGCGUACCUUUUGUAUAAUGGGUCAGCGACUUAUAUUCUGUAGCAAGGUUAACCGUAUAGGGGAGCCGGAGGGAAACCGAGUCUUAA
This 509-nucleotide ribosomal RNA is filed under the name Salmonella enterica subsp. enterica serovar Typhimurium. RNAcentral describes it as "partial 23S ribosomal RNA". It matches the Rfam family "Bacterial large subunit ribosomal RNA", at positions 137 to 687 of the family's 2925-position model. The record is from RNAcentral. Lineage: Bacteria; Pseudomonadati; Pseudomonadota; Gammaproteobacteria; Enterobacterales; Enterobacteriaceae.